CAGAUAACUUUUAUCAGUGAAUAAGGAUAAGACGUUAGCAAUUCAUGAUGUAUGGAAAACUCUUAUUAAUCGUGAACGUGGCCGUGUGUGUCAUCAUCGCCGCUGCAAUGCAGUUUGAACACGCCCACCAGUACCAUGGCAAUCCCAACAAUUGAGGAUGGCAAUGAGUUCUGCAGCACGACAUAUAAUCAGCAAAAAAUUAAAUAAACACUUCAAUUUGAAUAACCAUCAAUUGUAUUGGUUAAUAUAUUUGGUUAUUUCAAUGACUGUGCCAUCAAUACCACUUUUUGGCAGGAAUUUGUAAUUUCUUAAGCUAAUAUUGAUUGUCUUAAAUGAAUAGUAAUGUAUCAAUACAAUCAGAUGUGUCGUCCAGAAUAAACUGCGAAAUAUG
Dreissena polymorpha is the source of this 391-nucleotide long non-coding RNA. RefSeq lists it as uncharacterized. The transcript is spliced from 3 exons. NCBI's taxonomy places the organism in Eukaryota, Metazoa, Mollusca, Bivalvia, Myida, Dreissenidae. The record is from RefSeq and is a predicted model, not a curated record.